This 3902-nucleotide long non-coding RNA is filed under the name Canis lupus familiaris (dog). RNAcentral describes it as "lncRNA (ENSCAFG00000050745.1)". Lineage: Eukaryota; Metazoa; Chordata; Mammalia; Carnivora; Canidae. The record is from RNAcentral.
UUUUUGUUUUUUGUUUUUUGUUUUUUUUCAUACAACCUCAGACCAUGGGGCUUAGGUGGACCAUGUGCUCAUAUAGUCUAAGCUCACUUUCCUUGUCCUGAGUUUCCCCGGUUUUGAAUCUCAUGUCAACCGGUUAUAUAGUAGAUUGAGUACUCUACCCCCAUAGUAGUUCAGAGUUUGCCCAGGUCCUUUGCUUAUUCAGUUAGACAACUAUAAACAUGAUAUAAGUGGAGACUUAACAGUUUUCUUACACAUGGGACUCACUCUGUCUUGCUGUUUAUGGAAUCCUACACCCAGUAGUAUGUGGAGGAGGCCUAAGGAAAGUUUGUUAUAUAUAUUUAAAAAAUAAGACCCUUGGUCAAGUCAUCCUCAUUGCCCCUAUACCUCCAUCCAAAUUCUAGACAUGCGAGUUUUAGAUCAUCCCCCACAAGCUGAACCAGCACAGACGAGAAGAAUUUCCUGGCUGAACCCACAGAAUUGAUGAGAAAUAAUAAUUUAUUGUCUUAAAACACUAAUUGUGGAGUGGUUUGUUACUUGGCAAAAUCUAACUGAUAUAGAUUAUAUCACCCAAUCCUAACACUAGACUAUAAGCUAUUUGUGAGCAGUUGUUUGUUUGCUUCCCCCCGCCCCACUGUUGCCCCAAUGUAUGGAAAAUUUCAGAUUUUCAAUAACUUCUUUUAGAAUACAUAAAAAUUUUUAAAAUGUUUUUAGAUAAAUAUUGCCCUGAAUUAAAUAUGAAGGAACAUGUGUUUCCUUAAUGGCUCACAGUCCCUAAGAUUUUGAAUAUACAUAUUGUUUAGACAAUCAUUUUACUAAACUUACAAUAAACUUAAUUAUUUUUCAAGCCUCUAUUCUAAAAUUGAGAUACUGAUAUAACAAUAAGGAUAUGGCAAUGGUUAAUGAUAAUGAAUAUAGUAUCAGCAUAAUAUUAUAAUAAUUAUUAUUAAUUGAAAAGCCCUCAACUGCUAACAUUAAGCCAUUUAAUAUUCAAGGGAAACUUAUAAGAUAUAUAAUAUUAUUUACCUGUAUUUCAUUAAGGAGAAGACUUGGUGCUUAGUGAAAUUAACGACGGAUCCAAAGCUUCAUAGUUAGCGAUAAAUUUUACAUUCAAAUCCAGAACUUUCUUAUUCUAGAAUAUUAGUUACAUUUCUUCUCUAAUGUGAGUCUUCUUUAUAUCCCCAUUAAAAAAGGAAUUUUUGAGAUAGAAGGAUACUGAGAAUAUUAUUUGAUUCAGUUUCUUACUAAGUAAGAAAACAAGGAAAUAAGGUCAACUAAUGUGUCCAAGAGGGCACAGAAAAUAAUUCUUUCAAUAAAUGUUCCAAUAAUUUACAAAUUAGAAGCAAACUCACACAAGUAGAAGAUAAGAUAUUUUCAUUUAUUGAGAUUCUAAUAUAAGUUGGGUACUGCAUAGGUACAGUUAUACAUGUAACCUGGUUUAUUCCUCACAGCUAAGUAGUAAGGUAAGUAUCAUUUCUACUGGUGAGGAAUCUUAGGUUCAAAUUCACUAGUAGUUAAAUGCCCUGCCUGAAACCUAAACUCUCUCCUAUCUUAAUUCUAAUAGCAGGUCUUGUCAGUAAAUACUGCAGCAACUUGGGAUAUUUUCUUACAGUAUUUUUAACAGUCUUUAGGAAGAAAGACUAUCUGAGAAAGAAUAUAGUCUCUAUUAGAAAAGAAAUCUCCAUGUCAGAAAAACUGGGAUUCUCUAAUAUUUUGAGUUAAAUUGAUAAAUAGGAGAAAUAAUACUGAAGGUAAAUGCCAAGUCAGUGCUUGGGGGAAAUAUAUUGUGUUAAAAAAUGAUUCAAAGACCAAAUUUUGUUUUGGAAAUAGAAAGCAGUAGACUUAACACAGCUGUUGGAUAUGUGAAUACUGUGAUAUUUGAUUUUUUUUGUUUUUGCAGUCAAAAUUACCACAAAAUAAUAACCUGAAAAUAAAAUCAAGAGUCUAUUUAUGCAGUACUAAUAAAACGCUUAAGAAUGUCUUUUGGCGGGCAGCCUGAGUGGCUCAGGGGUUUAGUGCCACCUUCAGCCCAGGGAGUGAUCCUAGAGACCCGGGUUCGAGUCCCAUGUAGGGCUCCCUACAUGGAGCCUGCUUCUCCCUCUGUGUCUCUGCCUCUCUUUCUCUUUCUCUCUGUGUCUCUCAUGAAUAAAUAAAUAAAAAUCUUUAAAAAAAAAAAAAAAAUGUCUUUUGGGACAUUGGGAAGCACUUGUCCUCAGGAUUGUACAGUAAUGGAUAGUUACCAAAACCUGGUUUCAGGGGCCAUGCCCACCAUUCAUACAAGUGGUGGUCAGUUCAGAGAAGGAAGCCAUGGGAUGGGCAAGUUCUUUGGAACUGGCAGUAUUUUAUUUGCCCAGCUGUCCACUUCCCAAAACAGACUGUGACUUCUUUAACUGAUGGCUAUUAAUGAUUGAUGAAUGAAAUGAAUGAAGGAGGUAGGAGAUGGAGUAAAGUUACCAUGUAGAUAGAAAGGUCAGCCCACUGGAAAGUUAAGACAUAUCUUGGGCAGGGAUAGGUCAGGAUGAUGCAUUAUAGACGAAAUUUAUAAAAAUACAUUAAUAUGUAACAUUAAAACACAUACAUUACAUUCAGUGAAUCCUUGCUCCAGGUACUACAAUUGACAAAAAAAAAUCACAAGUUAUUUUUAAAUUUUUAUGUAUUAAAAUUAUUUAAAAGAGUAUCAAAGUUCAGAAUUUCUCAUAUUUACAUGGAUUUAGAGUAGUGAAAUGUUAAAAUGCAUUUUAAUAUACUGAUUAAAACAGCCUCAAACUAGAUGAGAGUUACCAUUUUACAUUAACAUAAUGUCAACAUAAUUUUAAUUUAAAUAUAUUUCCAUAUCUUUUGAUCAGAAUCCUGUUAAUAUUCAAGUUCAUUACUUCUUACUAAAGACUUACUUUAUUUAGAGGUCAUAGGAAUAUGUUAGUUGUAAAGUGUGCUUACAACAGUUGAAAUUUCCUAAUUAAAAAAUUUAAUUGAAAUAUAAAAUGUGCAAUGUACCAGUGGGCAAAGCAAAACAGAUAUAAUUCUUUUGUGUAUCUUUGGAGACUGUUGUCUCUCUUCCCAUUAUACUUGAGAACCUGAGAAGAUACCUUAAUAUCCUCUUCAGUUCAAUUUCAUUUAUUUCUAUGAUUAUAAAUGAUACUCAGAAAUGCUAUUUUUUUUCUGGGCUCAGUCCUAAAAACCUCUUCUCCACACCCAGGAAGCCUAUUUGCCGUGCUUUCUGAGAAACUGUGUUUAACAGAACAUUUAUCCUUAUUCUUGAAAGUGAUUUCCUAUACAACUUGGAUAUUUUUGAUCAGUAUUCAUGUUAUAAAAAUAUUUAUCAGACUAUUUCUGGGGGAAAAUAUAGCUAUAGAAAUCUAUGGGUUAGGUUGCUAAUGUAUGCCAUUAAAGGCAUAUACCAAGCAUUCAGAAGUUUAAGACUUUAUCUUUGGGGACAUACGGACAAUCAGAAAAGAAAUUUUUCAUUUAGAAUGUGACCACCAAAUACUGUCUUAUUGAGUGACAGUUCCAUUAUGAAUUUAAGCUCAGGAUAUAAAAAGGGUCCAUUGAACUACACAUUCAUCACUGCCUACAGUUGUGGAUCACAGGAAAAUAACUUGUUAACAUGGGUAGGUGGAGGUUAUAGUUUCUAGGAGCUAUCGGUCUAGUUCUGUCUGUAACUAGAUUACAAUGGAGGUGUGUGGGGGAGAGGAAGAUUAGGAAACUGAGGCAAAAACAAAAUAGAGAUGGUUCUUAAAAAUAUAGAAGGUUAUGGACUAAAUAAAUGGCAUUUGGGAGGCUAGAAUUAGUCCAAAGUAGAACUAUAAAAACCUGCUUUUGACACUAAUAAACAUGUAAUCAGUAGGAGGCUAUUUAAAUUUUCUAAGCUUCAAUUUCUUCAUCUUAAAAAAAAAAAAAAAGAAAAA